This 591-nucleotide long non-coding RNA is filed under the name Callithrix jacchus (white-tufted-ear marmoset). RNAcentral describes it as "lncRNA (ENSCJAG00000051941.2)". Lineage: Eukaryota; Metazoa; Chordata; Mammalia; Primates; Cebidae. The record is from RNAcentral.
CUCAGGGCAGCAGUUCUGGUGAAGGGGUAAGGAGAAUCCCCAGAAAGCUUCAUGGUCACACCACGUCUGGGAUGCUCAGCAGCUGCCCUGGCUGGGAUCUAACAACGAGAAGCCAGCAGACCUCACAGGGCUAUUCCAAGACUGAAACUGAAGGGAAUCUAAGUUCAGCAAAACAAUUGGAACAGGAUGUGCAUCUUGAAGAGGCCGAGGGGAUGAAUAUACUAAAUAUGCCACGCUGUCUGCACCGUGCCAGGUAGUCUACAUGUGUCAACAAUUUAAUGUGCACUAUGAUACAAGAAGGUAAAGAAAGAAGAAGAAAAUAUUGGUGUAUUUCUUUACAACUUUGGAGUAGAAAAGGCCAUUCUAAACCAAAUCUCAAAAUCAGGAAGCCAAGAAUUUUUUUUUUUAAAAAGACUGAUUAAAUAGGCUGGAUAAAAAUGAAAAAAUGCAACAUGGCAAAAGACACCACAAACAAAUAUACGGACAAAUGACAAAUUAAGAUAAAGCAUUUAAAGUUUAUAGUAGAGACAAUAUUCUAAAAGCCCCUCCAUGCCAUCCUCAAUACUUUACAAGCCACUAGAAAUUGAGAAG